RNAcentral lists this ribosomal RNA (349 nucleotides) under Staphylococcus aureus. Its description in RNAcentral is "partial 23S ribosomal RNA". It matches the Rfam family "Bacterial large subunit ribosomal RNA", at positions 2574 to 2925 of the family's 2925-position model. The record is from RNAcentral. RNAcentral also lists the same sequence under 1 other name. Lineage: Bacteria; Bacillati; Bacillota; Bacilli; Caryophanales; Staphylococcaceae.
GGGCUGUUCGCCCAUUAAAGCGGUACGCGAGCUGGGUUCAGAACGUCGUGAGACAGUUCGGUCCCUAUCCGUCGUGGGCGUAGGAAAUUUGAGAGGAGCUGUCCUUAGUACGAGAGGACCGGGAUGGACAUACCUCUGGUGUACCAGUUGUCGUGCCAACGGCAUAGCUGGGUAGCUAUGUGUGGACGGGAUAAGUGCUGAAAGCAUCUAAGCAUGAAGCCCCCCUCAAGAUGAGAUUUCCCAACUUCGGUUAUAAGAUCCCUCAAAGAUGAUGAGGUUAAUAGGUUCGAGGUGGAAGCAUGGUGACAUGUGGAGCUGACGAAUACUAAUCGAUCGAAGACUUAAUCAA